CGUGUUGUGAAAUGUAGAUGCUCAACAUCUGCACUGCAGCGCGAACUGGUUUCCUUGAGUGUGCGGAAGGUAGGCGGAAUUCGUGGUGUAGCGGUGAAAUGCAUAGAUAUCACGAAGAACUCCGAUUGCGAAGGCAGCUUACCGUAGCAUUACUGACGCUGAUGCUCGAAGGUGCGGGUAUC
This 182-nucleotide ribosomal RNA is filed under the name uncultured bacterium. Its description in RNAcentral is "partial 16S ribosomal RNA". It matches the Rfam family "Bacterial small subunit ribosomal RNA", at positions 588 to 769 of the family's 1533-position model. The record is from RNAcentral.